This 326-nucleotide long non-coding RNA is filed under the name Androctonus crassicauda. The record is from RNAcentral. Lineage: Eukaryota; Metazoa; Arthropoda; Arachnida; Scorpiones; Buthidae.
GGCUAAUAAUAACAUGGCCACUCAGGAAAGCCUUGAAGUCUCGUACACCGCUGUGCCUUGCCACCUGGCCAAGCUCCCAGCGGUUGGGAGGUCGGCGAGAUUGACUGGGAGGGGGAUUGCCACCACAAGAGGUUCCACAACUUUCUCCUCCUUGAGAGGUGGCGGGGAUGGGUUGGAAGACGGAGACGGGGCGGAAGUAUACACCAUACCAAUUGAAGACAGGGACACAGCGGGGGGGGGAAUAUAUCGGGAUGAUAGGACGGAUGCUGGCAGAGGGGGUUGGGGAGCAUAGGAGUGGCGUAGGGAGGGGAAAGACUACCACAGCC